Salvelinus sp. IW2-2015 is the source of this 198-nucleotide non-coding RNA. Lineage: Eukaryota; Metazoa; Chordata; Actinopteri; Salmoniformes; Salmonidae. The record is from RefSeq and is a predicted model, not a curated record.
CAGUGAGACAUUCACAUAUAAACCAGGAGUGCUCCCACAGUCUUCUUACCCACCUUAUUCUUAGAUGGAGAUCGGUGACAUGAUUGAGAUAAACAGAGGUGCAUUCAAACACUGGCUCUGUUACAUUGGAAAUGGAGAGGUCAUCCAUGUGGUAACUCCAGAUGGGCCUUCAAGACUAGCUUCUUGCAGUGUUAGCUC